Molecule: ribosomal RNA, 491 nt
Filed under: uncultured bacterium
Lineage: Bacteria
Description: partial 16S ribosomal RNA
Rfam family: Bacterial small subunit ribosomal RNA
Source: RNAcentral
AGUGAACGCUGGCGGUAGGCCUAACACAUGCAAGUCGAACGGCAGCACAGUAAGAGCUUGCUCUUACGGGUGGCGAGUGGCGGACGGGUGAGGAAUACAUCGGAAUCUACUUUUUCGUGGGGGAUAACGUAGGGAAACUUACGCUAAUACCGCAUACGACCUACGGGUGAAAGCAGGGGGUCUUCGGACCUUGCGCGAUUGAAUGAGCCGAUGUCGGAUUAGCUAGUUGGCGGGGUAAAGGCCCACCAAGGCGACGAUCCGUAGCUGGUCUGAGAGGAUGAUCAGCCACACUGGAACUGAGACACGGUCCAGACUCCUACGGGAGGCAGCAGUGGGGAAUAUUGGACAAUGGGCGCAAGCCUGAUCCAGCCAUACCGCGUGGGUGAAGAAGGCCUUCGGGUUGUAAAGCCCUUUUGUUGGGAAAGAAAAGCAGCAGGUUAAUACCCCGCUGUUCUGACGGUACCCAAAGAAUAAGCACCGGCGAACUUCGU